UACGUAGGGUGCUAGCGUUGUCCGGAAUCAUUGGGCGUAAAGCGCGCGUAGGCGGCCCGGUAAGUCCGCUGUAAAAGUCAAAGGCUCAACCUUUGAAUGUCAGUGGAUACUGCCGGGCUAGAGUCCGGAAGAGGCGAGUGGAACUCCUGGUGUAGCGGUGGAAUGCGCAGAUAUCAGGAAGAACACCGACGGCGAAGGCAGCUCGCUGGGACGGUACUGACGCUGAGGCGCGAAAGCGUGGGGAGCGAACAGG
Molecule: ribosomal RNA, 253 nt
Filed under: uncultured bacterium
Lineage: Bacteria
Description: partial 16S ribosomal RNA
Rfam family: Bacterial small subunit ribosomal RNA
Source: RNAcentral